CCCGGCCCGCGACCAGCCGCUGCUCUGUCAGAGUGGGACAGGUGCAAAUCCACAUGAAAGGACAUUUUGUCUCCAAAUCAGCGGCUCAGUCCUCCUGCAGAAGCCAUGUAACAGAAAUUCCCGUGUAACCCUACACCCUGCGACAGGACUGCAUUCUGCGGGACAUAUGGUGCUUUAACUGCAGCCACGACGGGCAGCUCAGUGCCCCUGGGGGUGGGGGGCAGAUUGGGGGGUCUGAGGUGGUCAGGCCUUAGAAGCUCGAGGCUGCACAGGCUCUAGAGGGAGCUGUGAGCUUGGUAAGGUCCCGAGUCUGCCGAUGAGCGAUGCCUUCACCUUUCUGCCCCCCCCCCCCCCCCCAACAGGAAGUCAGCUUACAUCCACAGAUGUUUCUCAGUCCCUCAUCCUUCAUUUGGCAAAUAAUAAUAUUAAAGAAUGUACAGUGAUCCUGACUGCUAAUGACGACAGGGUGGAUAAUUUCUCUGCCAUAAUACUGAAGCCAAAAGAAAAGACUGGAAAAGGAUAUCGGCCCAGCAAAAAAAAAUGUCGCGACCCCUUCGCCGACACUCAAUCCAGACACCGCCGUGGGUCCGCGGGCCGCACAGGAAGCGGCCGCAGUAACGCAAUCCGGCGGCAGGCGGGGAGGGAGGGAAGGAGAGAGGCGGCAGCCGCGGCAGCGUUUGAAAUGAAGAUGGAGCCGCUCUGACUUCACCGUGUGAGGGUUCUGCUGAAAGGCCUGUUAUUUUCAUCAUUAGAGCCUCUCCUCGUCUCCGCGAGCGGGCAGGUCGAGCCGGUGCCCCCCGCGAGCCGCCGCGUCUUGUUUUCUAGCCCCCCUCCCGCUUCCAUUCCAGUCAUCAAAUGCUGCGCACAACAUAAUGAGAGAUGUGGCAAUUAAUUUUCUUUUAAUCAAGGUCGAAAUGAAGUAAAUUGGUACAGCUUCGCGGCCCUCAUUUUCUAUUUUUGCAGCGAUGCAAAACAAAUACGAUAAAAUGAUGUGCUGCUCACCUACUGUAAUUAGAAAGCGUGAACGAUCAGAGCGGGAUGGUGUGUCAUAUACGGCACCUCCAGCUCCCUCUCCCCAGAGAUCAGAUUUCAGUUCUUUUUAAACAGAUGACCAUGUUUUCCUCCCCACUCUCCUAAUUCCCCUUCUCUUUUCCUCCCCUCGUCUUCCGCAGCUGAGUUACAGACAUGAGGAGUGGCUCGACGUGACAUUGAGUGUCGUGUUGUUGUAAUGCCUCUCCGAUCUUAUUAAAGGGCAGCACUGCUGAGCGCUUUGCUGACUUCACACAUUUCCAUUAA
Molecule: non-coding RNA, 1296 nt
Organism: Paramormyrops kingsleyae
Lineage: Eukaryota; Metazoa; Chordata; Actinopteri; Osteoglossiformes; Mormyridae
Source: RefSeq, a predicted model, not a curated record